Molecule: long non-coding RNA, 4931 nt
Filed under: Homo sapiens (human)
Lineage: Eukaryota; Metazoa; Chordata; Mammalia; Primates; Hominidae
Description: HSALNT0375827
Source: RNAcentral
UGUCUUACGGCAUAGGUGGCCUCUCAGAGUCUCAGCAAGGUCACUCUUUUCCAUAUGUAAUAAUGAGCCAUUGUUCUAUUCAUCAUGACCUCAUAGAGCCUUUUCUUUUUCUCAGGUCUCAUUUACUUCCUCUUUUUUUUUUCCUUUUCCUUUUCCUAUACCUUCCUUUGGUCCUUAUAAGUAUCCAAAUUGCCCUAAAAUAACUUCUGCACAUGCAGCAUUAGGAAGCAGUGUUUCCCAACCACUACAUUUGAAUGAUUCAUUCCUCUGAGGACCCUCAAGUACUUCAGAAGAACUAAAAAAUGAAUAUCACGUUACACCAAAGAAGAAAUGAAAGCUGCCAGUGUCUUCUGAAGUUAAACAGGCUCCUGUUCUUUGACCCAGCAAUCCAAUCCUAGGUAUUUAAUUGUUCCCUGAGGUUUAAGGCAGUGGACUGAGGAUAAUACAGGCUCCAGCUUUCAUUAGUUCAAUGGAUGAUGCUGUUCAAUCCAUACUGUUUGGGGCAUUUGUUGAAAAUGUCAUUCAGAAGAUAUCAACACUUUCUGAGUCAUGGUUUGAUUGAAUUUAUAGAAUUAUGUGAUAGAAACCACAUUCUUCACAAAAGUCACAAGGCAAUAAUGACGACAAGGGUUGAAGAUGAAAGAUGCCAAAUAUUCUGAUCAAUUCAAUAAGGCAAAAAGACAAGUUAAUUCACUCAGUGCUCCAGGCAUCAACUUCAUAGAAGGAAUGGAAAUUCUACCUGUUUCCUAAAGAACUACAGAGGACUCCAACUAAGCCACUAUGCUGGGAGCAGAGAUGGGGAAGAAUUGCUGAGUCAUGAUAAGAGAAGGCACUAUAGGAAGAAACAGUGAACUCUUAACAGCUGGGCAAGCAAUGAGUCAGCCUGGGUGGUCACUCCAGAUGCUCCCGGACACAUCCCAAUUUCUAGGAUGCCUUGCUGAUAUGUACUUCUCAAGGAAAAAAAAUGGUCACUAUAUAUAUUAAACUGACAGAGGAAAAGUGGAAAUAACAUAUGUCUUAGAUCUCCAUUUUGGCGAAGACAGGCUUCAGCUGUAAAGAAUCGAAGAAUAAAAUGAGACCAACAAAGUGAAAUCAUUUCUGAACCCAGUAACUAUUACUGCAGCACUGAUCUGCUGAACCGGCAGAGGAGUCCAAAAGAAAAAUCUACUCAUCCCAAAUGAGCAUUUACUCUCAAUAUGAUGUGUUUCACUAGCUCCUUUCCUCUAAAGCACUUUUUUUCCCUUGCAUUGUUUUUUUUUCUAAUUAUAUGUGUGGCUUUAGACAAAUUAUUCCAAUUCUCUGCACUUCGAGUUUAUCAAAUAAAAAUCAAGAAUAAUCUCUAGCUCAUAGUGUGUAGAGACUGAGUUUGAUUCUGUAUGAAGUGCCCAGCGCAGGCCUGGCCAUCUAGUGAGAGAACAGUAAAUGGUCUACUUGGGAGAACUCCUCAGUUAGAACUUUAAUGAUUAGGUAGCUAAUGAUCUGUAAUACCCUCCUUAGCACCUGUUAAUCUCACUUUAAUAAGGAGAGUAUGUCCGGCCUUUUACAAGAAGCCACAGAUACUCCAGCCAGCAAGGUUGGAGGCAAGGCUGGAUCUGGACCAAAGAGGCUGGUCAGCAAGUGCUUGGGAGCCAAGUCCUGAAAACAUUCAUCAGAAACGUUUCCUGCAUCUUCAGUGGCCUGUAGACUGGGCAGCAGGCAACUCUCUAAAUUUUACUGCAGUCAGAAGUUCAGGAUGGGAACCUGCUCAGAAAGGGUGGGGCGCAGCAUUUCAGGGGUUAUGGUCAUCUCCAGGAGAGUGGAGUAGGUUGUGAAGAGGCGAGUACUUCUACAGAAUCUCUAAAGCCAUCAUUUUGACAUAGGAAAUAUAGAGGGUAAGGGAUUGAGAUGAAAAAUGAAACUACUCUUUCAAGUGUGUUUCCUCCACACUUCUCUCUUAUCCUCCCUUUGUCUACGCUCUUCCAUGGGUGGUAUUUUAAAAGAUGCCUUUUCUAGUAGAAGUUUUGUAAUACUUUAAAAAUGCUCAGAGGCAUUUUUCCAAUUUGGAGUCAAUAUACUUUGUAUACUGAUGAGAUACUGCAGUUAAGUAAUUAGCUGUCUGCAACUAGUUAAUUAAGAGAUACUGCAGUACCUUGGCCUCAGGCAUUAAGCAAGUCUAGCUGAUAAGCUGGAAAUUGGCAAAUAGGAGGAUUGACAAGACACAAGAGCAUAAUGCGACACUCAGUCGCAUUUGACAAAAAAAAAAAUUUGUUUUUCCAGUGGGUAAAUGAGUGAGUGCCACCUAAAGUCAUACAGGUGGGUCUUUUAAUAAACCCAAAUAUUGUCAGGAAAGCGGAGACUUCCAACUGUUGGAAAAUGUCGCAGUAAACAGAAUUCUUCCUGAAUUUCAUUCUAUUUUCAUUUUCCUAUCACCCCAGUCCUGAAAUUACUGAAUUCAAGGGGAGAGUUAAGACUGAGAAACCCUUGAGGUUGCCACCUGGCAGGGUCACAACCAGCAGAGACCUCGUGUGGACUUUUAAAGGGCAGCUUUUCCUCUAGCCAGACCCUUGCCCUUGCUCCAGCAUCCAGCUUGCUGAGUAGGACCUGAACAGGACUCCACCUACACUUACCCUUUGGGAAUUCACGCUCAACCUGCGCAACCGUAGGCAGGACCCCCACCUCCCACCCACCCAGAUCAAAGGAAGACUUGACUUUGGAGAGUAAAUCCUCUCGGAGAAGAGAUCAGAUCAUUUCUCCCUACCUUGGAAGGAAAGGAACAUUUCCAAGUGAAAGGUCUUGUCUGCUACUCACCUACAGCGCAAGUCCCACGGUGCCUUGAGUGUUUGCGAGUGUCUCCUCACACCCAGAAAUGCCCCACUAAGGGACAUCUGUGUUUCUUGGAGCUAAGAAUUACCUAUUGGUGAGUGGAGUAGGAAAUAGAGGAAUAGUAUCAGAAUCUGGGCGGGCCUUCCACAUGCCCACCUGAAGACCCUGAUGUGUGACCACGCCCCCUUAGGAGCAUGCCCUCUCCCACUCCUGGCUCCCAUCGCUUGCAAAUUCUUAUGUAAUGAGAAAAUGCUGAAAGAGUAUACACAUGUGAAGAGGAUCAAAGCAGAAAACAAACUGGGAAAUUACAGAUUCCUCCUUAAGUCAAAGCACUAGACUAUUUGAAUGGUAUCUCUCUCCCACACAGUGUUCUUCAAUGCCGUGCUCAUUGUGAGCUGCACUGACUGUCUGCAUAAGAAUCACUUGGAUACAUGUCAAAAAUACAUCCUAGGCUUACUAAAUCUGAAUUAGUAGGAACAGAGCUAGAAAUCUACAUCUUUUAACAAAGUCUCCAGGUGACUUUCAUGUAUUCAGAAGUUUGUGAAUGACUAAUCUACCAGGACUGGUAUCUUAUACAGUCAAUGUUUGUUUCUCUAUCAGAAUCUGGGAGGGCUUUCCACACGCCCACCUGAAGACCAUGUGUGACCACGCCCCCAGAGGAGCAUGCCUUCUCCCACUCCCCAAUCCCAUUGCUUAUGACUUCAUUCACAUUUAGAGCGUGGACAGUGAAUCCCCAAUGUCAUUUACACAGUGUUGUUCUUGUCAUGGUCUAAACCAGCUUACCCCACUGCCACAUUUAUCCAUCAGCCUAUGGGAAAAGGGAAAAAGGAUGUGGAAGUGAAGUGAUCUUUAAAAGCCAAGGAAAGGAAGACAGGAAAAAUGAAGAUAAAUCCCAAAAGAUCAAUAUUUACUUUUAGUCUGCAUUUAAGUGUGCAUCGUUGAGAGAAUCCACGGCAACUUUUAUUAAAGAUAGAAGUUGUACUUGCCAACACAUCAACAAUUUAUGUUUAGAAACAAGAUACUCAAUCUCAAGUUAUCUUCCCUCUUGCCAUGUUUGUGGACAUCCCCCCACUGCCCUUCAUCCUCAGAAAGGAACAGCCUCCUGUGGGUUGACUUGGUGAUAUCUGUCCAUAGAUAAUGUCUCCAGCCCCAGGCUCAUCACUCAGACAUCUGCCCUCAGGAGGACACGUUCAUCCCCAGCACCAGAGACAUGUCUGCCAAGGCUUUUGGAACUGAUUUUAUCCCCAUGCAAAAAGCUAGAUUCUAAUUCUGUCUGAUCACAAAAGGUUGAAUCAAAGCCCUACAACUGAGGUUCAUAGACCAAAACAAGAAAUACAUGGAAAAGUUGCCAAAGGAUUUUAGAAGAUCAGAGGCUGUAAUUCAUUAUAGAUGUGGAUCCUUUUGCUUUCCUCUAAGGAAAAAAAAUAUUCAAUUUUAUUAAGAAAAAAUUCCCACUAACUGUGGCCAUGUUCAAAGCACUCACAGAAAAUAUUUUGAACGCACAGGGUUUCGCUCAAGGAAGAAUAUUCAUCAUUUCAGGGUGGGGGAAAGGAGCUGGUCAUUCAUUUUCUCUCACCUUAUCCUAACAUUUAUAGUUAAAAAGGGAUGGAUUUGUCUUUGCCUAAUCUCCAUGACAAAGCAAUUCUUGCCUGACCUCUCAAAUUCUCCCCACUCCAGAGAUUGUAUGACCAGAAGGUGGGAUCAUAAAUUCCCAAGAGAUGACAAAGGUGAAAAUGGAAUCAACAAUCACUACCUAAAUUUUCAGGCUCUGAGACACCUUCCUAAACUAUAUGAAUAAGCCACAGCAAAAUGCUUAAAUCUCUCCAGCUAUUUUUUCUUUCAUUGAUAAGUUAUAUUUCUUUUUGAAGGAAAGAAAGUAUCUACCUCAGCUCUUAUUUGUUAAAACUUACAUAACAAAGACACUACAGGUGAAAACACAGCCACCAUCACUCUAUAUUAUUUUCUAAAAUGAUUUAUAACAUAACAUUCAGCAUAGAUAACAGUAAAAGUUUAAAGAGGAUCAUGAAAUACAAAAUAAAUCCAAUUUAAUAAAGUGAAAACAAAAUCAUUGUUCUUUUGUAAAUGUUGAUCACAAAGCUUAAAAAAUGUACUUGAAAUGAAAAGCUUCA